Molecule: ribosomal RNA, 420 nt
Filed under: uncultured bacterium
Lineage: Bacteria
Description: bacterial SSU rRNA
Rfam family: Bacterial small subunit ribosomal RNA
Source: RNAcentral
GAGGAAUAUUGGUCAAUGGGCGAGAGCCUGAACCAGCCAAGUCGCGUGAAGGAAGAAGGAUCUAUGGUUCGUAAACUUCUUUUUUAGGGGAAUAAAGUGCGGUACGUGUACCGUUUUGUAUGUACCCUACGAAUAAGGAUCGGCUAACUCCGUGCCAGCAGCCGCGGUAAUACGGAGGAUCCGAGCGUUAUCCGGAUUUAUUGGGUUUAAAGGGUGCGUAGGCGGGUUUUUAAGUCAGUGGUGAAAGUUUGCAGCUCAACUGUAAAAUUGCCAUUGAAACUGAAGACCUUGAGUGUAAAUGAGGUAGGCGGAAUGUGUUGUGUAGCGGUGAAAUGCUUAGAUAUGACACAGAACACCGAUUGCGAAGGCAGCUUACUAAGAUACAACUGACGCUGAGGCACGAAAGCGUGGGGAUCGAAC